UACAGAGGUCUCAAGCGUUGUUCGGAUUCAUUGGGCGUAAAGGGUGCGUAGGUGGCGGGGUAAGUCUGGUGUGAAAUCUCGAGGCUCAACCUCGAGACUGCACUUGAUACUGCCUUGCUGGAGUACUGGAGAGGAGAUUGGAAUUUACGGUGUAGCAGUGAAAUGCGUAGAUAUCGUAAGGAAGACCAGUGGCGAAGGCGAAUCUCUGGACAGUUACUGACACUGAGGCACGAAGGCCAGGGGAGCAAACGGG
This 253-nucleotide ribosomal RNA is filed under the name uncultured bacterium. RNAcentral's name for it is "partial 16S ribosomal RNA". It matches the Rfam family "Bacterial small subunit ribosomal RNA", at positions 524 to 776 of the family's 1533-position model. The record is from RNAcentral.